AGAAUAUAAUAUAAAUUUUGGAUAUUAAUUUUGAGAUAUAUAAAAGUGAUUUUGAGAUAUAUAAGAUAUUGAAAAUAUUUUUAUUUUUUACUAAAAAUUAAAAUUAAUAUUUCUUAUGUAGAUAUUAAAAAAAAAUUAAGAGUAUAAAAAAAUUUUAGAAUGUAUUUCGAAUUCCCCUAAAAAUAAAAUAGAAAGUCAGAUUACGGAUGUCAAAGACAAAUUAUUCAAGAAGAAGCUUUCAAAGUGUGUAUAUGACUCGGGAAAAUAAAAUCUUGUAGUGAAAGUUGUGGUUCACAGGAAUCACAUGAGAAAUUGAAAAGGCCCCAAUUAUUAUUGACCGUCCAUAUUCAUUUCCAAACCUCUGGGUUUUUGUUAUUCGGUCAGUCAAUUUUUCUGCUCCGACGAGCACGUGGAAAACGAGGGGCCAAUAGGGGCAACCGCGUCCACAACUUCCUCGACGACGACAUGACAAAAACAACAGUUGUAUUGAAAAAAACACACCAAAAGCCAAACACACGUGUUUAUUUCUAACGCGUUACACGUAGAUAAAUACAGAGGAAAAUUGAUAAUUCAUCCUUAGACACACCAGGUCAUGUCUUGUUCUUUGCCAAUACCACCAACCCUAAAACCGAGGAACUUAUCACGUUGCAUUUUGUAUCUCAUUUUUUUUUUCAUUUUCUCGAAUUUUUUUCCUUUCCUUUCCAACAAAAUGAAAUUAAUUAUACGUUGUGAUUGAAUCUUUAAUUAGAUUUUUAUUUAUUAAUUGGGAUUUUAUUGAAAAUUACUUUCGGAUAUUAUUAAAAAAUUGUUCAAUUCUGCUUUGAGAUGGGGUUAACAUCUGUCAAAAACACCAUCUGGUUUGGUUGCAAAACUUUCCCUCACCGCUUUUCCGCCACGUGUCCAAUUAGUUGAACAUAAUGGACCCUACUUUUUGUCGUUUUCCAUGUGACGUGGCAUCCCUAAGUUUUUUUUAUUUUUUUAUUUUGUGAAAGUAAUCUGCUGCUGUCUGCUUUUCAACCGUCAAUGGGAUAAGCGAUGAGGAAGGACACUAUUGCCAGCUAUAACGCAUUACUUCCUUUUGUUUUUUUAAUGAUAAAUCUUUGGAUUUUCUGUAUUUCCUACAUAAAAUAAAGUAAUUUAAAAAUGUUUGUUUUGGUUUUCUUUUUUUUGGAGGUCUGAGUUAAUCGAAAAAGACAGCAUCUCCUUUUUUUUUUGUUUGUGUGCGUUAUAUUUGGGGAUUCGUUUUCACUCUCCCACGAUUCCCGCUAUCGUAAGCCGUAUGCAUCCACAGUACCAUUUUCUCCUGUGCUUCCGACUACUAUUAUUUAUUUAUUUUUUUUACUUUUCUUUUUAGGUUUUGUCAGUUCAAUUAUUCCAACGGCGCAUUUUAGCUUUUCAAGGCCCUUUGACAUGGAGAGGGAAGUAAAGGAGAGGAAGGGGAAAGAAUAAACAAAAACGACGUAGCUUUCUGUAUUCUUAGUGGUUAAGUCUGAACAAAAUGCAAUUUGGAAAAAGAAUUGGGACAGCGUGCCUGACUGCCUCAUGCUUUUUGGUCUGUUGAAGUGACUCUCUUCACAAGUAAUCUUAGUACUUUAUUUAUUUUUUUAUUUGAUCUGAGAGAUUAUUAUUUUUUUUACUUGAUCUGAGAGGUUAGUCUUUUUCAUUUUCAAAUAUUUCGUUUAGCCCAUUCAAGAGUUUUUUUUUAAUUUUUUUAUUCUUUGGACUAAU
This 1728-nucleotide long non-coding RNA is filed under the name Durio zibethinus. RNAcentral's name for it is "long non-coding RNA (DZIB_LNC002201)". Lineage: Eukaryota; Viridiplantae; Streptophyta; Magnoliopsida; Malvales; Malvaceae. The record is from RNAcentral.